CACGUAGGGCGCAAGCGUUGUCCGGAAUUAUUGGGCGUAAAGAGCUCGUAGGCGGUCUGUCGCGUCUGCUGUGAAAACUCAGGGCUUAACCCUGAGCUUGCAGUGGGUACGGGCAGACUAGAGUGCGGUAGGGGAGACUGGAAUUCCUGGUGUAGCGGUGAAAUGCGCAGAUAUCAGGAGGAGCACCGGUGGCGAAGGCGGGUCUCUGGGCCGUAACUGACGCUGAGGAGCGAAAGCAUGGGGAGCGAACAGG
Molecule: ribosomal RNA, 253 nt
Filed under: uncultured bacterium
Lineage: Bacteria
Description: partial 16S ribosomal RNA
Rfam family: Bacterial small subunit ribosomal RNA
Source: RNAcentral